CCUACGGGUGGCAGCAGUGGGGAAUAUUGGACAAUGGGGGGAACCCUGAUCCAGCCAUGCCGCGUGUGUGAAGAAGGCCCUCGGGUUGUAAAGCACUUUCAGUGAGGAAGAACGCCUGGUGGUUAAUACCCAUCAGGAAAGACAUCACUCACAGAAGAAGCACCGGCUAACUCCGUGCCAGCAGCCGCGGUAAUACGGAGGGUGCGAGCGUUAAUCGGAAUUACUGGGCGUAAAGCGCGCGUAGGUGGCUUGAUAAGCCGGUUGUGAAAGCCCCGGGCUCAACCUGGGAACGGCAUCCGGAACUGCCAAGCUAGAGUGCAGGAGAGGAAGGUAGAAUUCCCGGUGUAGCGGUGAAAUGCGUAGAGAUCGGGAGGAAUACCAGUGGCGAAGGCGGCCUUCUGGACUGACACUGACACUGAGGUGCGAAAGCGUGGGUAGCAAACAGGAUUAGAUACCCCUGUAGUC
Molecule: ribosomal RNA, 465 nt
Filed under: Vreelandella stevensii
Lineage: Bacteria; Pseudomonadati; Pseudomonadota; Gammaproteobacteria; Oceanospirillales; Halomonadaceae
Description: partial 16S ribosomal RNA
Rfam family: Bacterial small subunit ribosomal RNA
Source: RNAcentral